RNAcentral lists this ribosomal RNA (328 nucleotides) under uncultured eukaryote. RNAcentral describes it as "partial 18S ribosomal RNA". It matches the Rfam family "Eukaryotic small subunit ribosomal RNA", at positions 1470 to 1796 of the family's 1831-position model. The record is from RNAcentral.
CCCUUAGAUGUCCUGGGCCGCACGCGCGUUACACUGAUGCUUUCAACGAGCUUAUAACCUUGGCCGAGAGGCCUGGGCAAUCUUGUUAACGUGCAUCGUGAUAGGGAUAGAUUAUUGAAAUUAUUAAUCUUGAACGAGGAAUUCCUAGUAAACGCAGAUCAUCAAUCUGCAUUGAUUACGUCCCUGCCCUUUGUACACACCGCCCGUCGCACCUACCGAUUGGAUGGUCCGGUGAAGCCUCGGGAUUGUGGUUCUUGCCGCUUUAUUGUGGCGUGACCGCGAGAACUUGUCUAAACCUUAUCAUCUAGAGGAAGGUGAAGUCGUAACA